AGGCUGUGUAUGAUGAUAACAUAGUUCAGCAGAUACCUUGUGAUGAUUACUCUACUAGUCUUUCGCUCCUAUCUGAUGCAGCCU
Molecule: small nucleolar RNA, 84 nt
Organism: Coturnix japonica (Japanese quail)
Lineage: Eukaryota; Metazoa; Chordata; Aves; Galliformes; Phasianidae
Source: Ensembl